Molecule: non-coding RNA, 157 nt
Filed under: Hyphococcus flavus
Lineage: Bacteria; Pseudomonadati; Pseudomonadota; Alphaproteobacteria; Parvularculales; Parvularculaceae
Description: 6S RNA
Rfam family: 6S / SsrS RNA
About the family: E. coli 6S RNA was the first non coding RNA to be sequenced, but its function was unknown until recently. It consists of 184 nucleotides that fold into an extended hairpin structure with a large single-stranded internal bulge.
Source: RNAcentral
AUUUCGCUGCCCGGCCCGUCAGGACGACAUUCCCCGGGGCCUUAUCUCAUCUAUCGGGAGCUGCCUCUGACUAAGGCCGUGGCCUUUAUCACGCGGCGCCCACCUGGUCCUUAGGGUCCAGGGCGAAUAAAAGUCCAACGGCCAGGGCGGCGCUUUA